This is a long non-coding RNA of Bufo gargarizans (Asiatic toad), 1487 nucleotides long. RefSeq lists it as uncharacterized. NCBI's taxonomy places the organism in Eukaryota, Metazoa, Chordata, Amphibia, Anura, Bufonidae. The record is from RefSeq and is a predicted model, not a curated record. The transcript has 2 exons.
AAAAGGGCGGGAAAGUGAGCAAAGUUUUGGCAGCGUCUGACGCUGAGGUAAAUGGGAGGCUAUGAGUCCGGAAAGUCAUUUUACUGAGGCCCAGGGCCCGCCAGGCAGAGUUGGGAAGGUGCCACAGCAGCUACAGACACAGUCACAGUCAGUAGUCCACUCCUGUCCUCCUCUCCUGACAGUCCGAAGCUGGGGCCUAGCCCUAGGCAGUGGGCACACAGACAGAGACAGGCUCAGCCGCUCACACUAGAAGUCACUAGACUAACAGAAGACUAGCAGAGUGAUGCAGGAGCAGAACAUGAAGGCAGCAAACGUUCGGGCGGGCGGGCAGGCAUGCAGCUUUACGUGGUGACGACCGUGACGUCAACUCGUCUCUGCGGCUACCACACUCCCACCCUGCGCGCUCUGCUUCCGCGAGUCCGCUGGGUCCGACCGCCGCGCCCACCCCCAUCUGUCAUGUGACUCUCAUCUGAGACUGUGUAUGUAUCUGUGUGUUGUGUUGUAGUGUGUGUACUUUAACUUUAAUCACUGAGUCAGUAGUGUGGCCGGCUGGGCGCAGGCAGCAAAUCAGGGGGGGCAAGGAAUGACCUGGGGGGGGGGGGCAAUUGCCCCCCUGUAGCGACGCCACUGUGUGUGAGAAAUUUUAUAUCUCUAUAUAUAUACUGUGAACAUUCUGUAGUACACUUUUUUGUCCACUAGAUGGCCGCAAACCAGAUGUAUGAGCCAUGUGAGCAUUCCUUUGUCUGAUGGUCAAUAGGGGAAGGGGGGGAUUAGGUUGCAGUUUUCAAAUCUACCUAUGAACUGAGAGUUGAAGUUGCUGAAACCACUCCUAUCAAGGAGCCAAUAGUCUAUUCUUAAAGGGGUUAUCUCAUCUUAGACAAUGGGGGCAUAUCGCUAGCAUAACCCCUUUAAGGAACAACCCUUUUUGUGAUGUCAUCUCUGCUGUUUAAGUUAAUGUAACUUGAAUAAAGCUCUCUCUUGUUCUGGCUCAGGGGGAUGAUAAGAUGCUUCAAUGAAACCAACUGGUGUGUCUGGUCUCAUUAUGAAAGCAGUAUGAUACGUACAUACUUAUACUUUUAACUGAUUUGGCACCACAUAAAGAGGAUGAGAAUCGCAAGAAUUGCGAUGACAGUCUGUUGCUCGGUGGUCCAAAGUCCUCUUUUCUGAUGAGACCAUCUUUUGCAUCUCAUUUGGAAACCAAGAACCCAGAGUCUGGAGGAAGAAUGGAGAGGCACACAAUGCAAGGUGCUUGAGGUCCAGUGUGAAGUUUCCACAGUCGGUGUCUACCAGGAGAUUCUGGAGCACUUCAUGCUUCCUACCGCAGACGAGCUUCAUGGAGAUGGUGAUCUCAUUUUCCAGUAGGACUUGGCACCUGCCCACACUGCCAAAAGUACCAAAACCUUGUUCAAUGACUAUGGGACUACUGUGCUUGAUGGAGCAGCAAACUCACCUGGCCUGAACCCCAUAGAGAAUCUACAGGGCAUUGC